This 1077-nucleotide long non-coding RNA is filed under the name Oryctolagus cuniculus (rabbit). RNAcentral describes it as "lncRNA (ENSOCUG00000032027.1)". Lineage: Eukaryota; Metazoa; Chordata; Mammalia; Lagomorpha; Leporidae. The record is from RNAcentral.
AUGCGGGUGCAGGGCCCAAGCACUUGGGCCAUCCUCCACUGCACUCCCUGGCCACAGCAGAGAGCUGGCCUGGAAGAGGAGCAACCGGGACAGAAUCCGGCGCCCCGACCGGGACUAGAACCCAGUGUGCCGGCUGCAAGGCGGAGGAUUAGCUUAUUAAGCUGCGGCGCCGGCCAGCACUCUUCUUCAUCUUAUGUGGUCCUCAGCGUCCCAGCUGACGUCAAGAGGUUUCACUUUGCUCGAUAUUGUGUAUCACUGGCGGGCCCCAAGUCCGUGUUAAUGCCUGCCCAAGUAUCAGGAUUUCAGCAGCCGGAUGCAGUUAUAAAAUACGGUGAUGGCUCGCAGGCACCAUCUGCUUUCCCCCAAGCACUCACUCUCUUGUCAAUUAUUGAUAGUGACCUUCCAGCCCAGUCCCUGACGCCUCUCACUCUGUCCCCAGUGCUGCUGCACUUGGAAGCCCAACGCCUCCCGCCCCACUGCUUUCUCAGAUGUUCUCAACACAGUCUCCAAAGACAUCCCAAAGUCAGCCACAUGCCCUUGACCUUCCAUGCCUGUGUUCUUUCCUUCUUUCCUUCCUUCCUUCCUUCCUUCCUCACAUCCUCAUAUAUUCUGCACUUUGCUGAGCCUGAAAUCCCCGCCCCCAAACUCAAGUCCCCAAUGAGCACGGCCUUUUCUCCAGCCACGCCUGGCAGGACGAGACACAGAGCCGUGUGGGAGAGAGAAGGCUCUCGACACCUGGCUGCACCUGCCCAUGGAGGUCCAGCUCACCGAACUCCUCAUCAGUGGUCCGAGGGGGCCAGAGGAUGGAUUUCUCUGCUGUCCACCCAGGCACCAGCAACCCGUGGGCAGUCCAGACAGCCUCUGUUGGUAGCGGCGGCCGGCAGGGGCAGGGAACGCUUGGCUAAGGAAGUUCCUGCUUUUACGCUGCUCAGGGUCGGUGGGGGGGGGGGAGGGGGAGUUGAGCUGAAUAUGCACCUAUUCAGAAGGGCAAACAGCCAAAAAGAAACCCAAGCAACAUUUCCACUGACGGGCCCAGAAAUAGAGCUCCACCCGGAGCACGCCAGGGCGGCAGACUGA